GGAUGCAUUACUGGGCAAUUCUUCUGUUGGCAGUUGGUGACUCAUACUGCACUAGCUGAGAUUAAGCAGCAAGAGUUUGCUCACUGCCAAAGAAGAUUUGCCCCGCAAUUCAUUC
Molecule: non-coding RNA, 115 nt
Organism: Populus trichocarpa (black cottonwood)
Lineage: Eukaryota; Viridiplantae; Streptophyta; Magnoliopsida; Malpighiales; Salicaceae
Source: Rfam